GAUGAACGCUGGCGGCGUGCCUAAUACAUGCAAGUCGAGCGAACAGAUAAGGAGCUUGCUCCUUUGAAGUUAGCGGCGGACGGGUGAGUAACACGUGGGUAACCUACCUAUAAGACUGGGAUAACUUCGGGAAACCGGAGCUAAUACCGGAUAACAUUUAGAACCGCAUGGUUCUAAAGUGAAAGAUGGUUUUGCUAUCACUUAUAGAUGGACCCGCGCCGUAUUAGCUAGUUGGUAAGGUAACGGCUUACCAAGGCGACGAUACGUAGCCGACCUGAGAGGGUGAUCGGCCACACUGGAACUGAGACACGGUCCAGACUCCUACGGGAGGCAGCAGUAGGGAAUCUUCCGCAAUGGGCGAAAGCCUGACGGAGCAACGCCGCGUGAGUGAUGAAGGGUUUCGGCUCGUAAAACUCUGUUAUUAGGGAAGAACAAAUGUGUAAGUAACUGUGCACAUCUUGACGGUACCUAAUCAGAAAGCCACGGCUAACUACGUGCCCGCAGCCCCGGUAAUUACGUAGGGGGCAAGCGUUAUCCGGAAUUAUUGGGCGUAAAGCGCGCGUAGGCGGUUUCUUAAGUCUGAUGUGAAAGCCCACGGCUCAACCUUGGAGGGUCAUUGGAAACUGGGAAACUUGAGUGCAGAAGAGGAAAGUGGAAUUCCAUGUGUAGCGGUGAAAUGCGCAGAGAUAUGGAGGAACACCAGUGGCGAAGGCGACUUUCUGGUCUGUAACUGACGCUGAUGUGCGAAAGCGUGGGGAUCAAACAGGAUUAGAUACCCUGGUAGUCCACGCCGUAAACGAUGAGUGCUAAGUGUUAGGGGGUUUCCGCCCCUUAGUGCUGCAGCUAACGCAUUAAGCACUCCGCCUGGGGAGUACGACCGCAAGGUUGAAACUCAAAGGAAUUGACGGGGACCCGCACAAGCGGUGGAGCAUGUGGUUUAAUUCGAAGCAACGCGAAGAACCUUACCAAAUCUUGACAUCCUUUGAAAACUCUAGAGAUAGAGCCUUCCCCUUCGGGGGACAAAGUGACAGGUGGUGCAUGGUUGUCGUCAGCUCGUGUCGUGAGAUGUUGGGUUAAGUCCCGCAACGAGCGCAACCCUUAAGCUUAGUUGCCAUCAUUAAGUUGGGCACUCUAGGUUGACUGCCGGUGACAAACCGGAGGAAGGUGGGGAUGACGUCAAAUCAUCAUGCCCCUUAUGAUUUGGGCUACACACGUGCUACAAUGGACAAUACAAAGGGCAGCUAAACCGCGAGGUCAUGCAAAUCCCAUAAAGUUGUUCUCAGUUCGGAUUGUAGUCUGCAACUCGACUACAUGAAGCUGGAAUCGCUAGUAAUCGUAGAUCAGCAUGCUACGGUGAAUACGUUCCCGGGUCU
Molecule: ribosomal RNA, 1373 nt
Filed under: uncultured bacterium
Lineage: Bacteria
Description: bacterial SSU rRNA
Rfam family: Bacterial small subunit ribosomal RNA
Source: RNAcentral